CGGGGUGGAGUAACGCGUGGGUAACCUGCCUUAUACAGGGGAGUAACAGUUGGAAACGGCUGCUAAUACCGCAUAAGCGCACGGCAUCGCAUGAUGCAGUGUGAAAAACUCCGGUGGUAUAAGAUGGACCCGCGUCGGAUUAGCUAGUUGGUGAGGUAACGGCCCACCAAGGCGACGAUCCAUAGCCGACCUGAGAGGGUGACCGGCCACAUUGGGACUGAGACACGGCCCAA
This 233-nucleotide ribosomal RNA is filed under the name uncultured bacterium. RNAcentral's name for it is "partial 16S ribosomal RNA". It matches the Rfam family "Bacterial small subunit ribosomal RNA", at positions 104 to 334 of the family's 1533-position model. The record is from RNAcentral.